Molecule: ribosomal RNA, 270 nt
Filed under: uncultured archaeon
Lineage: Archaea
Description: partial 16S ribosomal RNA
Rfam family: Archaeal small subunit ribosomal RNA
Source: RNAcentral
CAGCACCUCAAGUGGUCAGGAUGAUUAUUGGGCCUAAAGCAUCCGUAGCCGGCGCUGUAAGUUUUCGGUUAAAUCUGUACGCUCAACGUACAGGCUGCCGGGAAUACUGCAGCGCUAGGGAGUGGGAGAGGUAGACGGUACUCGGUAGGAAGGGGUAAAAUCCUUUGAUCUAUUGAUGACCACCUGUGGCGAAGGCGGUCUACCAGAACACGUCCGACGGUGAGGGAUGAAAGCUGGGGGAGCAAACCGAAUUAGAUACCCGAGUAGUCC